AGAGUUUGAUCAUGGCUCAGGACGAACGCUGGCGGCGUGCCUAAUACAUGCAAGUAGAACGCUGAAGAGAGGAGCUUGCUCUUCUUGGAUGAGUUGCGAACGGGUGAGUAACGCGUAGGUAACCUGCCUUGUAGCGGGGGAUAACUAUUGGAAACGAUAGCUAAUACCGCAUAACAAUGGAUGACACAUGUCAUUUAUUUGAAAGGGGCAAUUGUUCCACUACAAGAUGGACCUGCGUUGUAUUAGCUAGUAGGUGAGGCAAUGGCUCACCUAGGCGACGAUACAUAGCCGACCUGAGAGGGUGAUCGGCCACACUGGGACUGAGACACGGCCCAGACUCCUACGGGAGGCAGCAGUAGGGAAUCUUCGGCAAUGGGGGCAACCAUGACCGAGCAACGCCGCGUGAGUGAAGAAGGUUUUCGGAUCGUAAAGCUCUGUUGUAAGUCAAGAACGGGUGUGAGAGUGGAAAGUUCACACUGUGACGGUAGCUUACCAGAAAGGGACGGCUAACUACGUGCCAGCAGCCGCGGUAAUACGUAGGUCCCGAGCGUUGUCCGGAUUUAUUGGGCGUAAAGCGAGCGCAGGCGGUUUGAUAAGUCUGAAGUUAAAGGCUGUGGCUCAACCAUAGUUCGCUUUGGAAACUGUCAAACUUGAGUGCAGAAGGGGAGAGUGGAAUUCCAUGUGUAGCGGUGAAAUGCGUAGAUAUAUGGAGGAACACCGGUGGCGAAAGCGGCUCUCUGGUCUGUAACUGACGCUGAGGCUCGAAAGCGUGGGGAGCGAACAGGAUUAGAUACCCUGGUAGUCCACGCCGUAAACGAUGAGUGCUAGGUGUUGGAUCCUUUCCGGGAUUCAGUGCCGCAGCUAACGCAUUAAGCACUCCGCCUGGGGAGUACGACCGCAAGGUUGAAACUCAAAGGAAUUGACGGGGGCCCGCACAAGCGGUGGAGCAUGUGGUUUAAUUCGAAGCAACGCGAAGAACCUUACCAGGUCUUGACAUCCCGAUGCUAUUUCUAGAGAUAGAAAGUUACUUCGGUACAUCGGUGACAGGUGGUGCAUGGUUGUCGUCAGCUCGUGUCGUGAGAUGUUGGGUUAAGUCCCGCAACGAGCGCAACCCCUAUUGUUAGUUGCCAUCAUUCAGUUGGGCACUCUAGCGAGACUGCCGGUAAUAAACCGGAGGAAGGUGGGGAUGACGUCAAAUCAUCAUGCCCCUUAUGACCUGGGCUACACACGUGCUACAAUGGUUGGUACAACGAGUUGCGAGUCGGUGACGGCGAGCUAAUCUCUUAAAGCCAAUCUCAGUUCGGAUUGUAGGCUGCAACUCGCCUACAUGAAGUCGGAAUCGCUAGUAAUCGCGGAUCAGCACGCCGCGGUGAAUACGUUCCCGGGCCUUGUACACACCGCCCGUCACACCACGAGAGUUUGUAACACCCGAAGUCGGUGAGGUAACCUUUUGGAGCCAGCCGCCUAAGGUGGGACAGAUGAUUGGGGUGAAGUCGUAACAAGGUA
RNAcentral lists this ribosomal RNA (1506 nucleotides) under metagenome. RNAcentral describes it as "bacterial SSU rRNA". It matches the Rfam family "Bacterial small subunit ribosomal RNA". The record is from RNAcentral.